UCAGUCGACUCCUACGGGGAGGCAGCAGUGGGGAAUAUUGCACAAUGGGGGAAACCCUGAUGCAGCCAUGCCGCGUGUGUGAAGAAGGCCUUCGGGUUGUAAAGCACUUUCAGUAGGGAGGAAGGUAGUGUAGUUAACAUCUGCAUUAUUUGACGUUACCUACAGAAGAAGCACCGGCUAACUCCGUGCCAGCAGCCGCGGUAAUACGGAGGGUGCGAGCGUUAAUCGGAAUUACUGGGCGUAAAGCGCAUGCAGGCGGCCUGUUAAGUCAGAUGUGAAAGCCCGGGGCUUAACCUCGGAAUUGCAUUUGAAACUGGCAGGCUAGAGUCUUGUAGAGGGGGGUAGGAAUUUCAGGUGUAGCGGUGAAAUGCGUAGAGAUCUGAAGGAAUACCAGUGGCGAAGGCGGCCCCCUGGACAAAGACUGACGCUCAGAUGCGAAAGCGUGGGGAGCAAACAGGAUUAGAUACCCUGGUAG
RNAcentral lists this ribosomal RNA (475 nucleotides) under uncultured bacterium. RNAcentral describes it as "bacterial SSU rRNA". It matches the Rfam family "Bacterial small subunit ribosomal RNA", at positions 328 to 793 of the family's 1533-position model. The record is from RNAcentral.